This 816-nucleotide ribosomal RNA is filed under the name uncultured bacterium. Its description in RNAcentral is "bacterial SSU rRNA". It matches the Rfam family "Bacterial small subunit ribosomal RNA", at positions 48 to 859 of the family's 1533-position model. The record is from RNAcentral.
CUUACACAUGCAGUCGAGCGGAGUGAUGGUGCUUGCACUAUCACUUAGCGGCGGACGGGUGAGUAAUGCUUAGGAAUCUGCCUAUUAGUGGGGGACAACAUUUCGAAAGGAAUGCUAAUACCGCAUACGCCCUACGGGGGAAAGCAGGGGACCUUCGGGCCUUGCGCUAAUAGAUGAGCCUAAGUCAGAUUAGCUAGUUGGUGGGGUAAAGGCCUACCAAGGCGACGAUCUGUAGCGGGCCUGAGAGGAUGAUCCGCCACACUGGGACUGAGACACGGCCCAGACUCCUACGGGAGGCAGCAGUGGGGAAUAUUGGACAAUGGGGGAAACCCUGAUCCAGCCAUGCCGCGUGUGUGAAGAAGGCCUUUUGGUUGUAAAGCACUUUAAGCGAGGAGGAGGCUACUUAGAUUAAUACUCUAGGAUAGUGGACGUUACUCGCAGAAUAAGCACCGGCUAACUCUGUGCCAGCAGCCGCGGUAAUACAGAGGGUGCGAGCGUUAAUCGGAUUUACUGGGCGUAAAGCGUGCGUAGGUGGUCUUUUAAGUCGGAUGUGAAAUCCCUGAGCUUAACUUAGGAAUUGCAUUCGAUACUGGGAGACUAGAGUAUGGGAGAGGAUGGUAGAAUUCCGGGUGUAGCGGUGAAAUGCGUAGAGAUCUGGAGGAAUACCGAUGGCGAAAGCAGCCAUCUGGCCUAAUACUGACACUGAGGCACGAAAGCAUGGGGAGCAAACAGGAUUAGAUACCCUGGUAGUCCAUGCCGUAAACGAUGUCUACUAGCCGUUGGGGUCUUUGAGACUUUAGUGGCGCAGCUAACGCG